UUGUAUAUAGUGAAAGUUAUUUUCUGAGGAGGUUUCUCCUUUGUCAGGGGCAGGAAGCAACUCAAUUAUUAGAGUUGUAUCAGUCUAAACUGGAUCUUGCAAGGAAAAUGAAGAAUGGAAAGGUUUGAAGGUUGGGAAUGACAUAUCUAGCAUGCAAAGAGCUUCAUAUUACACUAGGAUCUCUCCAUUUGAAUUUAGCCCCAAGUUUUAAAGCUUAUCUGAGAAGGCGUUUUGGAGUAAGAAUCAUGUAUAGAGACAUUGUUUUACCUUUCGUUGGAUUAUAGAACCCUUCAUCAGUAGGCUUUCGUGGGCCAUAUUUUCCAUUUGACCUUCUUCGUCACUAGUGCUGCAUUAAAACCAUCCUUUUCCAAAUCAGAAUUCUGGUUUAUGAUUA
This is a long non-coding RNA of Neltuma alba, 394 nucleotides long. RefSeq lists it as uncharacterized. The record is from RefSeq and is a predicted model, not a curated record. Lineage: Eukaryota; Viridiplantae; Streptophyta; Magnoliopsida; Fabales; Fabaceae. The transcript is spliced from 2 exons.